Molecule: ribosomal RNA, 441 nt
Filed under: uncultured bacterium
Lineage: Bacteria
Description: partial 16S ribosomal RNA
Rfam family: Bacterial small subunit ribosomal RNA
Source: RNAcentral
CCUACGGGUGGCAGCAGUGGGGAAUAUUGGGCAAUGGGCGCAAGCCUGACCCAGCAAGGCCGCGUGAAGGAAGAAGGCUUUCGGGUUGUAAACUUCUUUUAAGAGGGAAGAGCAGAAGACGGUACCUCUUGAAUAAGCCACGGCUAACUACGUGCCAGCAGCCGCGGUAAUACGGAGGAUGCGAGCGUUAUCCGGAUUUAUUGGGUUUAAAGGGUGCGCAGGCGGGAGAUCAAGUCAGCGGUAAAAUGUCGGGGCUCAACCCCGGCCGGCCGUUGAAACUGGUUUUCUAGAGUUGGAGAGAAGUAUGCGGAAUUCGUGGUGUAGCGGUGAAAUGCAUAGAUAUCACGAAGAACUCCGAUUGCGAAGGCAGCAUACCGGCUCCAUACUGACGCUGAGGCACGAAAGCGUGGGGAUCGAACAGGAUUAGAUACCCCUGUAGUC